This 468-nucleotide ribosomal RNA is filed under the name uncultured bacterium. Its description in RNAcentral is "partial 16S ribosomal RNA". It matches the Rfam family "Bacterial small subunit ribosomal RNA", at positions 28 to 507 of the family's 1533-position model. The record is from RNAcentral.
GACGAACGCUGGCGGCGUGCUUAACACAUGCAAGUCGAACGGAAAGGCCCUGCUUUUGUGGGGUGCUCGAGUGGCGAACGGGUGAGUAACACGUGAGUAACCUGCCCUUGACUUUGGGAUAACUUCAGGAAACUGGGGCUAAUACCGGAUAGGAGCUCCUGCUGCAUGGUGGGGGUUGGAAAGUUUCGGCGGUUGGGGAUGGACUCGCGGCUUAUCAGCUUGUUGGUGGGGUAGUGGCUUACCAAGGCUUUGACGGGUAGCCGGCCUGAGAGGGUGACCGGCCACAUUGGGACUGAGAUACGGCCCAGACUCCUACGGGAGGCAGCAGUGGGGAAUAUUGCACAAGGGGCGGAAGCCUGAUGCAGCAACGCCGCGUGCGGGAUGACGGCCUUCGGGUUGUAAUCCGCUUGCGCCUGUGACGAAGCGUGAGUGACGGUAAUGGGUAAAGAAGCACCGGCUAAAUACGUG